Molecule: unclassified non-coding RNA, 165 nt
Organism: Chlorocebus sabaeus (green monkey)
Lineage: Eukaryota; Metazoa; Chordata; Mammalia; Primates; Cercopithecidae
Source: Ensembl
ACAAGCUAAGAGAUACAAAGGGAAAAGUGUGACUGCUCUGACAGCAAAAACAAGCAAAUAUCUCCAGAGGGGAUUAAUCCUUCUGCUUCAAAGUAACUAAAACAAAGAAAGCUGAGCCAGCUUCACUGGAAACAACACCUGUCCAUCAGACAAGGAUGAGCUAAU